CCCUUCAUGGCUACACUGGUCAAGCUGGUCUACUUGCAAUAAUAACCAGCUAAACCAAUGUGUGCCAGAAGCAGACCAGCAUUGCCCAUUUAAAACUAGUUUAGCCAUGAUAACUCUCUAAAAGAUUUGGCAUGUUAAUGUGGGUAUGACAUAUUGAUAGGAUAUUGGUCUUGGCGGACUAGAUAUGCUACGCUACUGCUGAUGCAAAGCAAGUACUGAGACUUGCUACUGCUAGAAAAUACACAGACAUACUGAGGCCCAUACUAGGGGCGCACUUACAUCUGACGCAGCGCCGGAAACUCUUUCUUCCUACACUGUCAAGACGACAAAAAAAAAAGUACUUUUCUCACGCAUUAUUUACAGGAGUUUCUGCAGAGGGCAUUGGACAAUAUCCAUCGCACAUUGAGACACAGAGCUGUUGCUCCAUCCAGUAAAAAGAAGAAGGGGUUUAACAAUGUGUAUUCCAAGUUUUAUCGACCACAAUGAGGGUGAAUAUUCACAAGCCAAAGACCAGCACUGGAUUAGCAAGGGCUUUGCCGAACUGAAGAUAGCACUGAUGAUGGACGAAUGCUAAUGAGAAGCUAAAUUUUUACUCUCUCUCUCUCUCUCUCUCUCUCUCUCUCUCUCUCUCUCUCUCUCUCUCUCUCUCUCUCUUUUAGAACUCUUCUUAAAAAAAUAAAAAAAAUAAAAAAAACAAAAAACAGAAAGGGACAGUUAACAAUGACACAAUAAUAUAUUGACAGUAAUUUGACACAAUAAAUAUAGAUUACAUUUUGUGGUAACACUUUACUAUAAGGUUCCAUUCGUUAACAUUAGUAAAUGCAUUAGGUAUCAUGAUCAAACAAUUAACAAUAUAUAUUUUUUCUGCAUUUAUUAAUCUUUGUGAAUGUUAGUUAAUAAAAUACAAUUGUUUAUAGUUAGUUCAUGUUAGUUCAUAGUGCAUAACUAUUAGACAACUUAUAACUAUAUAACUACUAGUAUAUCAACAUAUACUAAUAUAUAAUCUAUUAGUAUAUGAUGAAAUUAACAUUAACUAGAUAGUUAGAACAUAAAAUAGACUAUUGUAAAAGUAUUGUUCAUUGUUAAUGCAUGUUAACUAAUGUUGUUAAAAUUUUUUAACAAAUGGAACCUUGUUGUAAAGUGUUACCAAUUGUGUUAUUGUAUCAUUCAUUACUCUUAUUAAUAAAUAUUGUGGUGUUAUAUUACAGAUUAAAUGAAUAAAAACGUAUUAAUCAAUCAACUGUAAUUUCUUUUUUCUCUCUCUGAAGAAUAUGUGUUUUGUUUAUGUGCAAUCCCAUGGUUUGACUAGGGGGAGAUUAUAAUAAUUUACAAAAAAACAUUACUGUUUUUAGUGUUCUCAGUGAUGUUUCGUCGCCCUGCGGAUGGCGCAAAAACCUCAGAUGAGCAACGGACCGUCCCUAACUUCAUCUUCUGUGAAGAGACAAUCCUGAAGAUGGAGAUAAAGAGAAAGACCUGUUUAUGAAAAAGAGAGGAUGUGAUAAAAUUACACACUCCAUUUGAUAUACUGUAAUAUCUUACCAUUCAAUCCUGCACAAUGGCAAAAUAAUUUAACUAGACAAUGUGAAACGAGUGUAUAGAUAUAUACUACUAUAUAUACUUUUUUAUACAUUUUUUAUUUUUAUCGAAUAAUGUGUAUCUAUAUUGUGCGUAUUGUAUACUGUACAGUGUAUGUUAUUAUUUGUAUAUUGUUGUGUGUAAUUAUGUGUAUAUCAGAUGUUUAAAUUGUGCUGUGCUAAUUUGAUGUUAUUGUAAAUUGGUAUAUGUCUCACCUAUGUCUCAUCACUGUCACAACGGCUAUGUUGAUCGGAACUGCACCCAAGAA
Molecule: long non-coding RNA, 1843 nt
Organism: Myxocyprinus asiaticus (Chinese sucker)
Lineage: Eukaryota; Metazoa; Chordata; Actinopteri; Cypriniformes; Catostomidae
Exons: 3
Source: RefSeq, a predicted model, not a curated record